UACAGAGGGUGCAAGCGUUAAUCGGAAUCACUGGGCUUAAAGCGUUCGUAGGCGGGCUCGCAGGCGCGUUGUGAAAGCCCCCGGCUCAACCGGGGAACUGCUUCGCGAACCGCAAGUCUUGAGUCAAGUAGGGGCGGUCGGAACGAUAGGUGGAGCGGUGAAAUGCGUAGAUAUCUAUCGGAACGCCAAAGGUGAAGACAGGCCGCUGGGCUUGUACUGACGCUGAGGAACGAAAGCGUGGGGAGCAAACGGG
Molecule: ribosomal RNA, 253 nt
Filed under: uncultured bacterium
Lineage: Bacteria
Description: partial 16S ribosomal RNA
Rfam family: Bacterial small subunit ribosomal RNA
Source: RNAcentral